GCUUCAGGAGACUCAGAGCGAGCUGGAAUUGUUUGUCGGUUCGCUUGUCAUUUGUUUAUUCGUUUCUUUGCUCUUUCCCAGCAGUUGCUUCUGCCACCAAAGCCUUGAGCCUCAGCCUGAAGCGACUUUGCAUGGGAAACACUAUCCCAGUUCAGUGUGGGCGGCUCCGCGGCUGGAACAAUACUGUUUUUUUGUAGAGCAGAGGAGGUUCCACACCUGCAGAAGCAACUGGCAAUUACAGGGGCUGCUCCCCAGGCUGAUUGCAAAAGACUGAAUCGGAGAGUUGAGAACAGAGAGCCCGAAGGGAGCAUCUGCAGAGAUUUCACUUUGAUGUGGACAAGAACUCCCCAAAAAGGGGGCAGCCAGCUUGGAGGUCAUUGAGGCGAAUCUGGAUGGGGAUACCUGGUCAGGUAUCAGCUGGACUGAAUGGCUACUGAGACUCCUCACAACGGAUAUUUCAAAAGUCCCAGCUCCGUGACUCACAGGUUGACCCAAAGAAGAGCAGAGAGGCUUCCGGCAGCCAGGAGAAGGAUGCCUUGGGAACCAAGAGUGACUGGCGCUGAGGGCCAGGUGGGAGGGGGAUCCCCUGGGAUACCAGGAUCAAGCUCCGGGGGAAGCAGGGCUGCCAAGCUGUCCAGAGGAUUCCUAUGGCCACACGUGGACCUGGCUUUAAAAUGAAAUGUGUC
Molecule: long non-coding RNA, 686 nt
Organism: Sarcophilus harrisii (Tasmanian devil)
Lineage: Eukaryota; Metazoa; Chordata; Mammalia; Dasyuromorphia; Dasyuridae
Exons: 3
Source: RefSeq, a predicted model, not a curated record